RNA transcript from Drosophila subpulchrella, 1823 nucleotides. RefSeq lists it as uncharacterized. Lineage: Eukaryota; Metazoa; Arthropoda; Insecta; Diptera; Drosophilidae. The record is from RefSeq and is a predicted model, not a curated record. The transcript has 2 exons.
CAGAGUAUCUUCGGGGUGUAUCCGAGUGAAAAGAAUGAAAAGCGACCGAAAACGCACGAAGUAGCGCACGGAACAUUAUACAAUGUGCAUCGCAGAGUUAACCCCAAAAAGAAAGGAAAAGAACUGAAGGGGCUCGAGCGAAAAGUGAAAUCGAGAGCGACAAACUUCAUGGAUACGGAGAUAAGCACCGACCAUCUGGGAAGUAAAUCAACUGCAGAUUUUGAUUUAUCUCUGCGACUAAUGAAGCUGUUCAAGUGGAAAACCAAGUGCCUACUUUGUCCGGCCAAAUAAACAUCCCUCCCUCUCUUCGAGGGUGGUAAAUAGGCCCCGAAGAGCCCGAAGACGAGGCUUCCGGCAGGAUGAAGAUCGAGUUCCCCGAUAGAAGGCAUGUGCACGUGCUGCAACCAAAGCAAACAUAUGCCCCCUCUUGAAACUCAACACCGAACAUAAAACUAUAUCACAGAAUCGGAGUUCGAGGGGGGUUAAAGGACGGGGGCGCGCACAAGUGCUCAUUAACAAUUACAAACAGACGAUCAGUCAGUCGAGCGUACUACAUUUUCCAAUAAAACUAUUAUAAAUGCGCAUAAAUUUCCCCCAUGAAUUUCGAAUUGGAGACAAGAGCAAGGCAUGAAUGGGUUGAAUACAUUAAGUAAUCAUCGGCAUUCCCAGCACAAACACCCUGUAAAUAAAUAUGUAUACCCUCUAUAUAUUAUCAGCUGUUUUGGAAAGCCAACCCAAAUGGGUAUUAGUGUGCGCUGAUUAAAUUAACCUCAAACAGACGGCGAAUGUUAUAAAAGAUAUACACAAAUAUCGCUUUAAAUGAACAACAAUUGGCUUGUUUACAUGUGGAUACGAAAAAGUGUAUAUAUAUUAUAUAAAACAAAAGCAAAACUUGUAGCUUUGUAUUUUCCGCUACUUUUAUUCGUCAAUUAAUUAUUGUCGGCUUCAAAAGCCCAGCGGAUGCCAAAGUUCUGGGUGUUGAAAGGGGGCAAAGUGGAGAUCAUAAUCCAUAAAUUAAAAUACCAGACACAGCAGCCCCACGAUCGCAAUGACAGAGAAUUAUAAUGGAAAUUCAGCUGUCGGGGGAAACAGACAAGCCACAUUCCAUGGCAUACUUUUAGGUGGAUUCCAGAAUUUCCCUUCCUUAUUGAUGGGCUCUGCUUUAGUUCUAAUUGAAUUUACUUGGUUUUCCCCAACUGCAGCCGCUGACUCAUCCGCUGACUUCCAAAGUCAAGUAUGACAAAUCCAUUUGCCCCCCACUGCUGAUCCAAUUGUGGCCCUCGCCAAAUUAGCAUGAAAUAAUCCACCCUCGGAUAUAUAAAAGUAGUAUAGAUAUACAUAUAUCUUUUGUGCAUGGCUUCACCUCCCGCAUGAGCGUGUUUUAAUGGUCUCGCACAGAAAUAAGUUGCCAAAGUAAACAAAGUUGCAGCUCCGCUUUCCUUGCGGUGGGUCCAUCACCACGAAGACUGGAUGAGAUGAUGUGGCUGUCGCUCCCCAACACGGGGCUGCACUUUGCUCCCGGCUAAGGGUCAUCAUCAUCCCAUCCCAUGCUGCGCGAAAAUUCUGCGCACAACCUGAGACGCAAAAAAGAGAAAUUCACACGACCAGGAUGAGGAAGCCAUAAAAUUUAAAUGCCAUGCAUAAAAUAUGAUAAUAAUGGCCAUUUUCUGGUGCCUAAAUACUUUGUAGUCUAAAGGUUUAAUUAUUCAAAAUUGUUUACAUUAUAGUGUCAGUUUGAAUUUAUAACCAAAAUAAUGGGUACUAAAUAACAAUAGUUCCAUUGUAUUUUUAGCACAUAGUGACCGGUUCGUUUAACAAUUCAA